AUUGAACGCUGGCGGCAUGCUUUACACAUGCAAGUCGAACGGUAACAGGGUGCUUGCACCGCUGACGAGUGGCGAACGGGUGAGUAAUGCGUCGGAACGUGCCGAGUAGUGGGGGACAACGCAGCGAAAGUUGUGCUAAUACCGCAUACGUACUGAGGUAGAAAGUGGGGGACCUUCGGGCCACACGCUAUUCGAGCGGCCGACGUCGGAUUAGCUAGUAGGUGGGGCAAAGGCUCACCUAGGCGACGAUCAGUAGCGGGUCUGAGAGGAUGAUCCGCCACACUGGGACUGAGACACGGCCCAGACUCCUACGGGAGGCAGCAGUGGGGAAUUUUGGACAAUGGGCGAAAGCCUGAUCCAGCCAUGCCGCGUGUUUGAAGAAGGCCUUCGGGUUGUAAAGGACUUUUGUCAGGGAGGAAAUCCCUAGUGCUAAUAACACUGGGGGAUGACAGUACCUGAAGAAUAAGCACCGGCUAACUACGUGCCAGCCGCCGCCGUAA
This 500-nucleotide ribosomal RNA is filed under the name uncultured bacterium. Its description in RNAcentral is "partial 16S ribosomal RNA". It matches the Rfam family "Bacterial small subunit ribosomal RNA", at positions 30 to 523 of the family's 1533-position model. The record is from RNAcentral.